GAUGAACGCUGGCGGCGUGCUUAACACAUGCAAGUCGAACGAAGCACUUUAUUUGAUUUCCUUCGGGAUUGAUUAUUUUGUGACUGAGUGGCGGACGGGUGAGUAACGCGUGGGUAACCUGCCUUGUACAGGGGGAUAACAGUUGGAAACGGCUGCUAAUACCGCAUAAGCGCACAGCAUCGCAUGAUGCAGUGUGAAAAACUCCGGUGGUAUAAGAUGGACCCGCGUUGGAUUAGCUAGUUGGUGAGGUAACGGCCCACCAAGGCGACGAUCCAUAGCCGACCUGAGAGGGUGACCGGCCACAUUGGGACUGAGACACGGCCCAGACUCCUACGGGAGGCAGCAGUGGGGAAUAUUGCACAAUGGGCGAAAGCCUGAUGCAGCGACGCCGCGUGAGCGAAGAAGUAUUUCGGUAUGUAAAGCUCUAUCAGCAGGGAAGA
This 440-nucleotide ribosomal RNA is filed under the name uncultured bacterium. Its description in RNAcentral is "bacterial SSU rRNA". It matches the Rfam family "Bacterial small subunit ribosomal RNA", at positions 28 to 448 of the family's 1533-position model. The record is from RNAcentral.